RNAcentral lists this non-coding RNA (112 nucleotides) under Chlorocebus sabaeus (green monkey). The record is from Rfam by way of RNAcentral. Lineage: Eukaryota; Metazoa; Chordata; Mammalia; Primates; Cercopithecidae.
GCUGGGUGUGGUGGCUCACGCCUGUAAUCCUAGCACUUUGGGAAGCUGAGGCGGGUGGAUCACCUGAGGUCAGGAGUUCAAGCCUGGCCAACAAGGCGAAACCCCGUCUCUA